This 1614-nucleotide long non-coding RNA is filed under the name Acanthaster planci (crown-of-thorns starfish). RNAcentral describes it as "uncharacterized LOC110985733". The record is from RNAcentral. Lineage: Eukaryota; Metazoa; Echinodermata; Asteroidea; Valvatida; Acanthasteridae.
UUUGGUCCACCCACCCCCAAUUUUGUUUUAAAAAAUUGAAUUUUCAUCCAAUACGUGUACAUUAUACAUGCAUUUGACAUAAAUUCAUAUUCAAGUAAAAAUCUAUAAUGCAACACAGUGUGACAAGAUGAUGGCUGGAAUUGCAAUAAAUGAUCUUGAUCGAUCGCGCACGCAACAGCAUGCCAUGUCCAAUCCGCUCAAAAAUGGAUCUCCCGAGGUACCGCUACGCCUACAGUCAAUUACAGCGUGUCCACGCACAUGCAUAUGUAUUUCUAUCGAAAUGGAGACGUAGACCUAGCUCUAGCCAACAGAUUUGGAUGCAGUUUGCUGCUGUCUGGUUAGUCUUUGAUUCAAGGAGGAGUACUAUCACCUCUUGGCUGAGAAGAUCUACAAGAUCCAGAAGGAGCUGCAGCAGAAACGACAGAAGAGGAUGCAGGAGGUACUGAUGCUGCCGCUGGAGGCAUCCCCAUUAAUGCAGCAGCGCUGCUGCCCCAGCCUCAACCUCCCCACUAACUGCCCAGACCAGUAUGUCCACUGGGAAAAUGUAGCUUGUUCAACCGACGUAUAUCAGAAUUAUGCUGUACAGAACUACAUGUAUAUGGUUUUGAAGGGUUAUUGUGGUGUCAGUGUUGCUUUGGCUCAGCAAUGAAAGGUGGACUAGUAGAAUGGGGCAUCAUUUUGGCAUAGUGACACUCUUGUCACCUUCCACUUCCGUGAAUCCAGCCCAGGUUAUCAUGUGGAUUUUUCAGUCUUUACUUAACUUUGUGGGUUUUUCUCUGUAAUGUUCAUGUGGAGUUUUUCCCUUCACUUCUAAAACUGAACACUAUCCUCAUAUAUUUGCAGUUGUAAUUUGAAGUUGUAGAUCGUCACAUUUCUCAAGUGGUUACUGGCAGCCCUUUGAAAAACAUCCUGGAGAUUAUAUUGAUACUAUCAAUAAAUAAAGUGGGAGUUUUUAUUGUUAUUGUUGUUGAAAUUACACAGGGAAAUGGUAUUGUUUAUGGUAGCAGGGCCAGGUUUUCUUCAGUGUAUUUCUAAAUGUGGUCAUAAUACAGACUGAUCAUUUGUGGUUCACUCAAGGAAGCCUGUACACAGGUUAACAUAAAUUUGGUGUGUGAUUUUUACUUACAGUUUUAUUUCAAUUCCAAGCAUCUGUAACUUUUUAAGUUAUCACUGAAUAGUCAAGACCUUUUCUUUAUUUGUAGUUUUCUGAAGGCUUUUAUUUUACUUCAUAUUUGAAGAGUGAUGUCACCCAUAGAUCAUUGUGCAAUUUUUAUGACUGCAGAUGAAUUGACUCAGAGUGUGUACAAAAUGCAGGUGUAAAACAAAAAUUGUACGAAGUAAACAACAAAUAAAAGUGUAAUGCAAAUGAAGAUGUCAGUUGUACUCAUAGUCAGUAAAUGUAACUAACUCAAGCUUAAAAUUGUAUUUCUAAUGGGAGCUUCACUCAUUAGGUGCUUCUGGAAAAUGUGUAUCUCUUUUUUCCGCACGCAACUGUUCUUGCUUAUUGUCUUGAUCAGGACUUGAACAAAGCUUUUGCCACAAAUAAAUUACAUUGCUAAUUUGAUAGACAAACUAACAGAUAUUUACAUGUAUGUAGAUAGGGUCUGCUGCUUG